This 600-nucleotide ribosomal RNA is filed under the name uncultured bacterium. RNAcentral's name for it is "bacterial SSU rRNA". It matches the Rfam family "Bacterial small subunit ribosomal RNA", at positions 331 to 929 of the family's 1533-position model. The record is from RNAcentral.
CCAGACUCCUACGGGAGGCAGCAGUGGGGAAUAUUGCACAAUGGGCGCAAGCCUGAUGCAGCGACGCCGCGUGAGGGAUGGAGGCCUUCGGGUUGUGAACCUCUUUCGCUCAUGGUCAAGCCGCAACUGUGGGUUGUGGUGAGGGUAGUGGGUAAAGAAGCGCCGGCUAACUACGUGCCAGCAGCCGCGGUAAUACGUAGGGCGCGAGCGUUGUCCGGAAUUAUUGGGCGUAAAGGGCUUGUAGGCGGUUGGUCGCGUCUGUCGUGAAAUCCUCUGGCUUAACUGGGGGCGUGCGGUGGGUACGGGCUGGCUUGAGUGCGGUAGGGGAGACUGGAACUCCUGGUGUAGCGGUGGAAUGCGCAGAUAUCAGGAAGAACACCGGUGGCGAAGGCGGGUCUCUGGGCCGUUACUGACGCUGAGGAGCGAAAGCGUGGGGAGCGAACAGGAUUAGAUACCCUGGUAGUCCACGCUGUAAACGUUGGGCACUAGGUGUGGGGGCCACCCGUGGUUUCUGCGCCGUAGCUAACGCUUUAAGUGCCCCGCCUGGGGAGUACGGCCGCAAGGCUAAAACUCAAAGGAAUUGACGGUGGCCCGCACAAG